RNAcentral lists this long non-coding RNA (713 nucleotides) under Prunus persica (peach). RNAcentral describes it as "long non-coding RNA (PPER_LNC005946)". The record is from RNAcentral. Lineage: Eukaryota; Viridiplantae; Streptophyta; Magnoliopsida; Rosales; Rosaceae.
GUAUUGCGAAGCGUGCCUGAUCUGGUUGGGCUUGGGGGUAUUGACUUUCUCUCUCUGUAGUAAUGUUAAUUUAUCUCUCUAGAUCGUGGGGCUGCAUUGGGUGGUGCCGACAUCUUCUCAGCAGCUCAUGGGGCAACUGGAUGGAUCUGUCAGCAGACUCACGCAUUUCUUAAAUGCCCUAUAACUGGUAAAUGCAUUGGGUCAAUUCCAAACCGCCGUUUAAGUGUGAAACUAUCCAAUUUUUUUCUUUUCUAAUAUCAGGACUUAAUCUAACAUCUUUCUCCUGGACUACAAAUCUCAGUGAGAAAAAAGUGUUUGCAUAAAAAAAAAAUAAAAAAAAGGGCUCUCUCAGAAAACCCUAAUGAAAAAUUCCAGCCGCCACCGAUUUUGGAGUUUGGUGGCCUCCUUCCCAAAUCACCUCUCCUCUUCCCUCUUUUCCCCCAACCUUCGCCCCCCUUUUUCCGUUAUGAUCUUUCUUUGUUAUUUUGUUUUGUGAUGUAGAAGAAGUUGCCAUGAAACACUAUCGACACCAUAAAAUAUUCGUCAUCUUUUAGCCCACGUAUACAAGGAUGAUGUCGGAUUGUGUCAGAUUUAGGUUUAGCUAGUGCAAUACUAUGGGUUUAGCCAAUAUGGCAUUGUGGCUCUCUUCGAGUUGCCUGGAGGAUGCAGAGUGGUGGUCAUACUUCUUAGUUUGUUUAAGUUUAAUAAUUCUC